This 739-nucleotide long non-coding RNA is filed under the name Mus musculus (house mouse). RNAcentral's name for it is "predicted gene, 49263". Lineage: Eukaryota; Metazoa; Chordata; Mammalia; Rodentia; Muridae. The record is from RNAcentral.
UGACUCCAUCAUCUGAGAGCAUCCGUCACAAGAGCUGUAGCACUGCCUGGGAAGAGAACGCUCUCCCGAAGCUUUUGAGAGCAGAAGCUCCCCUGCUCUCUGCUCGCCAGCCAGCUUGGCGGGUGUAGACAGCACAGUAACAGUAGCAGCACUAGAAGGCGGGUGGAGUCAUUUCCCCCUCCCUGCUCAUACCCCUACCCCUUCACUUGAACCCUCCCGCCAGGCCAAGGCAAACGCCUCCACAGAUAGGGUCUCCGCAGAUAGGUUAGGGUGGGGGGUUGGAGGAGGGUCAUCCAAGGAAAUCCUGAGAAGAGAGUCUCUUGUCUUCAGCUCCUGCCUCGAAAUGUGACCAGAAGCCCAGACUAAUAUGAGCUUUGAGCAAAAUGGUGUAUGCCACCCUCAAAAUAUGAGGAAUAGCUGAAGAAACCUGUAUUCUGCAUCUUCAUCUGCCAACCUCUGGAGACCACUGACCUAUAAACUCCAUAAACUCCGGCUUUCCCAGACUGUCCCAUGCUGGACUCAUGAGCACCUUGACACAAGUCUUUGGGCUUCACUCUGUGGGGAGCCGCACUCACAUUUGCCAUUAUAAGAUGGCGCUGACAGCUGUGUUCUAAGUAGUAAAUAAUCUGCACAUGUGCAGGGGCAGUUUUCCCGCCAUGUGCUCUGCCUUUUUUGUGAUGACAACUGGGCCAAUGGGCUGCAGCCAAUCAGGGAGCGACACGUCCUAGGCGGAGGAUAA